Molecule: ribosomal RNA, 481 nt
Filed under: uncultured bacterium
Lineage: Bacteria
Description: partial 16S ribosomal RNA
Rfam family: Bacterial small subunit ribosomal RNA
Source: RNAcentral
GACGAACGCUGGCGGCGUGCUUAACACAUGCAAGUCGAACGGUGAUGCGGAGCUUGCUCCGCGGAUCAGUGGCGAACGGGUGAGUAACACGUGAGUAACCUGCCCUCGACUCUGGGAUAAGCGUUGGAAACGACGUCUAAUACUGGAUACGACCUCAGAAGGCAUCUUCUUUGGUGGAAAGAACUUCGGUCGAGGAUGGACUCGCGGCCUAUCAGCUUGUUGGUGAGGUAAUGGCUCACCAAGGCGACGACGGGUAGCCGGCCUGAGAGGGUGACCGGCCACACUGGGACUGAGACACGGCCCAGACUCCUACGGGAGGCAGCAGUGGGGAAUAUUGCACAAUGGGCGCAAGCCUGAUGCAGCAACGCCGCGUGAGGGAUGACGGCCUUCGGGUUGUAAACCUCUUUUGGCAAGGAAGAAGCGAAAGUGACGGUACCUGCAGAAAAAGCACCGGCUAACUACGUGCCAGCCGCCGCCGUAA